RNAcentral lists this ribosomal RNA (466 nucleotides) under uncultured bacterium. Its description in RNAcentral is "partial 16S ribosomal RNA". It matches the Rfam family "Bacterial small subunit ribosomal RNA", at positions 28 to 507 of the family's 1533-position model. The record is from RNAcentral.
GAUGAACGCUGGCGGCGUGCUUAACACAUGCAAGUCGAACGAUGAAGCCCAGCUUGCUGGGUGGAUUAGUGGCGAACGGGUGAGUAACACGUGAGUAACCUGCCCUUAACUCUGGGUUAAGCCUGGGAAACUGGGUCUAAUACCGGAUAGGAGCGCCUACCGCAUGGUGGGUGUUGGAAAGAUUUAUCGGUUUUGGAUGGACUCGCGGCCUAUCAGCUUGUUGGUGAGGUAAUGGCUCACCAAGGCGACGACGGGUAGCCGGCCUGAGAGGGUGACCGGCCACACUGGGACUGAGACACGGCCCAGACUCCUACGGGAGGCAGCAGUGGGGAAUAUUGCACAAUGGGCGAAAGCCUGAUGCAGCGACGCCGCGUGAGGGAUGACGGCCUUCGGGUUGUAAACCUCUUUCAGUAGGGAAGAAGCGAAAGUGACGGUACCUGCAGAAGAAGCACCGGCUAACUACGUG